GGGGUUGUAGCUCAGCUGGUUAGAGUACUUGCUUGACAUGCAAGGGGUCCCCAGUUCGAUUCUGGGCAGCCCCA
Molecule: transfer RNA, 74 nt
Filed under: Candidatus Wallbacteria bacterium HGW-Wallbacteria-1
Lineage: Bacteria; Candidatus Walliibacteriota
Description: tRNA-Val
Rfam family: tRNA
About the family: Transfer RNA (tRNA) molecules are approximately 80 nucleotides in length.
Source: RNAcentral